This is a long non-coding RNA of Felis catus (domestic cat), 7425 nucleotides long. RefSeq lists it as uncharacterized. The transcript is spliced from 4 exons. NCBI's taxonomy places the organism in Eukaryota, Metazoa, Chordata, Mammalia, Carnivora, Felidae. The record is from RefSeq and is a predicted model, not a curated record.
GAAAGAGAAACCUCCGCGGCCCGGCCUCGCUUUUAUAGCAACGCCGCUGCCUGGUUACGUCAGCGCGCACGCCGCCAGCCUGCACCAAUCAGAAGAGGUGGUGCCGAGCGGAAAAGCACUCGGAGAGGACAGCCUCUCCGACGUGAGACUCUGCAGAAGUGUCUUUCCACUCUGGCCUUUCCCACAUCUGGUUUCCCUCUGGCUGGUGCCCUGAGCCACUCUCCAUCCACCCGCGGGAGAGGCACCACCCCCUGGGGCUGGUCACCCCCGUCCCUUCUCACCCGGCUUCCUGCCUUUGCCCUGACGCUGGCGACGGACGAGGAGGACGACGAGGAGGCAGAGCAGCAGGACGAAGGCCCCCGCAGCCCCGAUGAGGACGUACAGGUACCGGUUGGGACCUUGGGCAGAGCCACACCGUGAAGGAGCCAGUGAUGCCAUUUAACUGGGCGCCUGCUGUGUGCCAGGCACGUGCUGGGCUCUGGGCAUUCACCUCUGACCCUGUCAAGGGUCACGCAGCAGGGGACUGCCGCCCCACCCCCAUCCCCCCACUCCACAGACAGGAAAGUGAGGCACAGGGAGGCUGAUCAUGUGUCCCAGGUGGCCCAGAGUGGAGGCAGCAGGGCUGGGACUGGAACCCGGGCUGUGGGUUCCCUGCGCUCUCCUCAUGCUGCCCCCCCCAGGCUGACACCAGCUUGGGGCUCUGGGCUCCUUAUCUGCAGGCGGGUCUGUCCCAGCGUCUUCGUCUGGGGCCGAGGGUCCUUCCAGAUUCCCCUCACUACCUGAAGGCCCCCAGCCAUUGUCCUCCCGCCCCUCCCCCUCCAGGGUCAUGUCACUGCUGCAGAGGGCCAGGUCCCCAUAGAAUCCCGACCCGGAGGGGCUUCCCCGUGAGCCCUCCUCUCCCCCCGGAGGGGGCCGGAGCCACGGCCAGAACUGAGGGGAAAUCUAAUCUGGGCCAUGACUCUCUCCUUUACACCUGGGGAAACUGAGGCCCAGGCAGGGGAGGGCGGGUCCAAGCCAGUGUCUCCAGAGGUGCCUGAACUGAUGGUGUAACCAACCCCUGCUCCCAUGGACCCACCCGCCUCCUCCUGACAGAGACCUUCACUUGCCCGCAGAGGCUCCUGGUGUCGGGGAGGGUGGGGGGUGGGCAGAGGGGGCUGCCUCUUCCCCAGCUGGGCCCCCACCCUCUCCCUCUGCCAUGACCACCCCAGCCCUCCUCCCCCUGGCCUCAGAGCCCCUGGAGCCUGGUGGCCGCCCUGGCAUCUCUGAAACAUGGGAAGGAAAGCCCUGGACAGAAGCCACUGUGACUCACCAGCUGUUGAGCUGGGAUCUGUGGCUGGGGGGGCGGACUCUCCAGAGGAUCCUGGGGGGAAAGACAGUAGUAGAGGAGGGGGCUGGAGUUUCCCUUCAAGACCCUGUCUCUGCUUAACAGUCUUCUCCCUCUGCCCUGCGGCCCCCAGGGCCCUCCUCCUCCACCUGGAGCAUUGUGGUGACGGGGACAAGGAAAGGGGCAGGGAGGGAGGGGCGUGUUUCCCUCCUGUGCUCUGAGGGGCGGACCCCUCGGGUGACACUUCCCCUGAGCCCCUUCCAUUAUGUCUCAGCCCAGGGCUCUCUUGGGCACAGGGCCCUGAAGACAACAUUGGGACACAGAGGGGACAGGGCUGGGGCCCCUCACCUGAGAUCUGGAGCUCCAGGGGGUCACUGGGGUGUGACAACAGGUAGGGGAAGUUGCUGUAUGAGCCGUAGCACCUGUAGGUCCCCCCCUGGGCUGAGGUCACAGGACUCAUGGAGAAUUUGGCCUGGUAAUGUCCAGCUCGGUACUUUGAUCUAAGACGCAGGGGAGGGUCGGCUGCCCCCUCCUUGGACAGAAAGAAAGUGUCCACAAAGCUCCAGGACUGACACAGCAGGGUCACAUUCUCUCCUGAGGCCACCGUGGGUCCUGGCUGCACUGAGAGGGAGGGUGUGUAGGAGAGCUGUCCUAGAGAGAGGAAGGCAGGUGAGGGGCUGUCCAUCCUUGCUCUGAACUGAGUCUGCCUGUCUGUCCUCUGAGUCUCUCUCCUUCCCCGUCCCGUCUGUCUCUCUGUCUCUCUCCCUCCCUGGGGACCCCACACCCCUGACCCCAGCCACCACCACCUGGGACACCCCCAGUAGGGCCUGUGCAGAGUCGGGGGUCUGACUGAACCCGUGUCCCCUCACCUGUGACCAGGAUGUCCAGGGGGUCACUGGGGGCCGACCACUCGGAGGAGAGGUUGUGUCCACCAUAGCACGUGUACCGGCCCCCAUGGGAGCCGCUCACUGGGCCCAGGGGGAAGUCGGCCCCCGAGAGCCCAGCCUGGGGCUGCCGGCUAAGGUGCUGGGGAAGGUCACGUGCCGCCUCCUUGUAUAGAGCGAAUCUGUCAUAGCCGACGUCAGAGCGACACUGGAGGGUCAGCCUCUGUCCAGGGGUCACGACAGGGCUCUGCUGGGUCAGGAGGGAAGGCUUCCUGGACAUACCUGGGAGACAAGCAGUCGUGGAUUGAGGAGCAGAUUCUCCCCAAACCUCUCUUCUCCUGUCCUGACCCCCAGGUCUCAGUGUCUCUCACAUUCUGUGUCUCUGACCUGUGAGAUCCCGUGUCCCCCUCACCCCACCCUCUGAUCUGGGGCUCCCCUGGGAGCAGAGCCUCCAUAACCUGUCUGGUGGUCAAAACACGGAUGCAACAAAAAUCAGACUCCCUCACCUGAGACCAGGAGCUCCAGGGGGUCACUGGAGAGUGACCACGUGUGGGGGGUGUUGCUGUAAUAGCCAUAGCAUCUGAAGGUCCACCUGAGCCUGGGGGUCACAGGGCCCACAGGAAACAGGGCCUGGAACUGCCCACUGGUGUGUCGCUGGGAGUCGAGGGUCCAGGCAGGUCUGGGUUCUCCUUCCCUCAUCAGGACGAACCUAUGGAAUCCCAUCCAUGAGGUGCACUGGAGGGUCACCUUCCUUCCUGAGGUCACGACGGGUCUGGGCAGGGCUGAGAGAUGGGGUUUGCUAUGGAAUCCUAGGAGAGGGGGAGGGGGCGUGUUAAAUGGGGCUCAGAUUCCACCCCCCACAACACCCCCAGGGCUGGACUGUGAGGGGAGACAUGCUGGGAGGAGACCCCCUCCCUGAGGGCAGAGCCUGGGGCGGGGACCCUGAGGGGGCUCGCACCUGUCACCACCAGCUCCAGGGGGUCACUGCGCUCUGACAAGCCAGUGGGGCUUCGAUAGGAACAGUGAUACCGUCCUGCAUGUCUAUCUGUCAUGUAUGUGAUGGAGAACUUGGCCUUGUUCCCAGGCUCUAGUGUGGGCUGUCUGUCCAGGUACACUGAGCCUUCGUCUUUAUACACAUGGAGCUUCUGGGCCUCCAGGGUCCCCUGACACCAAAUGGUCACAGCGCUACCCCAGGGGACCACAGAGCCUGGCUCAGCCCAGAUGGAGGGUGUGGGGAGGGUCCCUGGAAGGAAACAGAGGCUGUAUCACAAGACCUUCCCCACCCUCAGAUCUUAGCUCAGCCCCAAACCCCCAGACGUCCCCUCUCCAUCCGCCCAGAACUGCUGUCCUCCAUUCCCAGCUGCCUGGUGGGUGACCCCCGUCCCUAGUGAGGAGGUGGGAUGGGACACCUGGGGACACACUCACCUGCCUGCACUUGGGUCCUGGGUUCCACACUCAGACCUGGAAGAGAGUCCCUGUGAGAGGAUGGCCCCGAGUCCUGAGCAAUACCCCUCCUCCCGAUGACCCUCCUGUGCCUGAGGUCUUUGACUGCCCAGGGCCUGGUUGUGGGGUGGGUCCCUCCCAGACUAGGGCAUCCUCUCCCCUCCUGAGAUCUCACCGAGGAGGAGCAGGGCCGUGAAGGUGGGGGUCAUGGCGUCUCUGCUUCUGGCCCCGGCUGUGCAGAGGGAGGGACCUUCGUGCUUGGAGGACAGACAGAAGCACAGGGUGUGGCCACUUGGGGGCUGGCCUGCCUGGUCAUGGGGUUGUCACGUCAGCAGCCCCACAGGAAGGGGAACAGCCUGUUUCCAGGGGCCCAACUCUGGUGUCCAUGAUGGUGCAGCAAGUGGACCCAAGGCUUCCUGAGAUGUCCCAUCCAGUCUCAAGGUACUCUCAAGUUGGGAGAAGUGUGAAGGUUAAUACAGAGAAACCCCACAAAAAAAGGAUCGUGAAGCCAGAAGGGGGAGCUUGCUCGCUACACCUCUUGGUCAAGAAUCACCAAUCGCUGACCCCACAGAGGAAUCAUCAACAGUACAGGAUCCUCAAAUACAGGCCCCAACAGAGAAUGCUGGGAGGAGGCAAGAGCAGGUGGAAGAAGCCUUCGCUCACACUGGAGAAUUCCUUUCAACAUUCCUGUCCUGAAAUGAGUCUGCUUUUUGGAGUCCUGUGUAAACAGUGGUGGCAUCAUCCUACUUCCCUCAUUCACAAUGAGGAAAGGAGUGUGGGAUGGAAGUUGUGCAGACUGUGUCUCAGCUGGCUCCCCCCACCAGCAGGAAAUCCCAAGCCGCAUGCGAAGCCUGUGACUUCACUUGCUCCCCCCACCGGCAGGAAAUCCCAAGGACGCAUGCGCAGCCUGUGACGUCGCUUGCUCCCCCCACCAGCAGGAAAUCACAAAGAGGCAUGUGCAGUGUGUUGCAUCGCGGCCAGCCAGCUUUGCAGGCCUCAUGGCAGUGCAUGCAUUGAACAGCUAACUGGGCCGGCCGAGUUCAGCUUCACUGUGACGAUGAGCUCAAGGAGGAAAACGGGGGAAUAUGGUGAGAAAACAUGACUCUUCUCCUGGUCCCUGAUUGUGGGUUUUCUCCCUGCCAAGAGCCCUCAUCAUGGAUUUCCCUUUUCUUGCAACAGCGCCCACACAUCUUGCUAGAAACGUAGCCCCCUGGUGCCCCUUGUUUCUGUUCGCAGGUAUCCCCGCAUUGCUCUGGUCCUGCCUUCAGCUUCGGACUCAGUCGGUUGGGUUUGUGCUCUGAAUAUGAAGGGAAAACUGACCUUUGUGUAAAGAUUCAACUAUCAAAAAAAAAAAAAAAAAAAGAUUCAACUAUCAUCUAGUGACUGUGUGACUUUGAGAAAUAUCAUCCAGUCUCUGAGCCCGAGUUUCCUCCUUGGGAGAGGUUUGUCAUGAACCCUAGUGUUCAGAGCAGGUGUGGGGCCCGUGCUGUCAUGUUCAUGGGGUGGCUCAGUCAUCACUAAUUUCAGGCCAGAUGAAGAGUCUUGGAAGAGGUGCAUGAGAGGAUGCGUUGUCUGACUCCACUGUCUAGGUAGACAAUGGAUGGGCUCACUCAAGAGCCCUGGUUCGUUCCUAACACCGAGAGAUGCUAUUUAUCAUAUUUCUGAAAAAUGUAGGCACAGCCAAGUGCAGAAGAGGAGAAAAGAAAGUUCCCAAAUUGAGGAACCUCAACAGAUACAAGAGGUCAAAGCUGAGUGGCCACCGGUGUCUGGGACCAACAAGGGGUCAUCAGUGUGGAUGUUUCCCCUCUGUGUGGACAUGAGAGGAACCCCAGGUCUUCACAGGCAAGGAUGGGAUCAGAUCUCUGGUGAGUUUGGAGGCUGUGUUGCUCCCUUCUCCAUUUUUGUGGUUGGGCACUGGGAUAUUUUUGCCAACAGAACCAGCCGUGGUCAGCACUGAGCCAUGGCCCCAUGUAUGCAGAAGAGAAUUCACUGUAGUGCAGGAAGACGUGGACCUCUGUGAGUGUGAGCCCUACAUUAGACCCAACUAUACGUGCAAGACACAACUAUGUGUGGACACUAAGUUUGUGGGAGUGGAUGUCACAGGGCAAAACAACUGCAGGCAUCCCUGCCUAAUCAUGAAUGACUCCCAGUGCAGCUGUAGGAGGAAACCUUUGUGGAAAAUAAGGUGUGUGGAAAUUCAGCCCUCCCAACAGGAGUAUACUGCAAAGAGGAGUCCUGAUAAGAAGAAACAGUGCUACAAAGUCAAUCUUAAUGCUCAUUGAGAAUUCUGCUAAUAUAUCUAUGGACAUACGGUGCCAGGAAUAUGUAGACUUAUCUUAAAUUAGGUAUGUGUUUCAUAUCAUAAAGAUGAUGGAGGAACUUGAAUUUUAAAGAAAAGUCUUUAUUUUUGAGAGAGAGAGAACAGGAAAGAGUGGGGGAUGGGCAGAGAGAGGGGGACAGAGAAUCGGAAGUGGGCUGUGGGCUGACAGCAGUGAACCAAGUGCGGGGCUCAGAUUCACAAACCACGAGCUCAUGACCAGAGCCUAAGUGGAACGCUCAACCUAUUGUGCCACCCAGGUGCCCCCGGAACUUGCAUUUUUGAGAAAAGAAUAUGAUUGAUACUUGAAGAGGCAAUGAUAGAAAUGAGUUAGAAAUUUUAAUGGUGAAGAAUCCAGUUGAAUGAAUAUGUUCUAAGCUUUCAUUCUGUCAAGGGGAAGACCUGUCUGAAGAGUUUGUCAGGAAGCUGGAACACAAUAUUGAGGAAACUUUCCAGACUGCGGAAUAGGCCAGAAAUGGAGAUUUCAGGUACUUGGGAGUAGAAUGAGGAGGGCCAAGGUCACAUCUACUGUGUCAGGAAGAAAGGACAGAGAAUGCUGUCUCCCAACUGCCCAAGAAGCAAGUAAUUUGAGUGUUUUCCAAAGAUGAGGAAAGACCAUUUAAAUGGUAGUGGAUGCACAUUUAAAAAUAAAACCCGUAUGUUGACACUUCAUAGUAAAAUGAAGAAAUCCAGGGUAAAUUAGAUUUUAAAAAUCGUACAUUGAAUUGUACCUGUAAAAAUGGUUAAUGUUAUUCUUUGUGAAUUUCACCUCAAUUGAAAAAUAUGCAACAGAGGCUCGUUGGGUCUGCAGAAACGUCCUAAAAUUACUUCCUGGGGAAAGUGCAAAGGCCACCUCCAGGCUACAUUUCCCAAAGGUAAAAAUGGGUGCCAGAAGCUACUGACAAAUAUCCCCAAGGAAUGAAGUGUUGGUAGGGAAUUGUAUACUGAGCCAAAUUACUACUGAGGCCAAUAGUGAAAGCAUCUGCAGAGACAAAUUCGUAAAUUCUGUGGAAUCAUGUCACCCCAUCUGCCCUGUUAGGACUCAUGUCCCACAUGUUAAAGUCACCAGGUCAGGGUGUGCCUUCAAGAGAGAUGAGGAGGGGUUGUGGGUUCUUUCCUCAACCACCAGAUUGAUUUCCCCUCCAAGCAUGUGCAUUUUGUCCUCUCCUUGAAAAGAAAAAAAAUUAUGAAGUAUCUGGAUAAAAGAGAGAACACUAUCUGCCAAAGGAAAUCUUUGUGGUGGCUUCCAAAGUCUCCCAUACUAUCCAAUCUUUCCCCAACCUCAUAUAAUUAAAAAGUUUAUAAGUGUAAUGCCUAUUUUGAAAGCUUGUUUGUACUAAUAGAAAGUCAUUUCUUUAAAAUCUUGUUGGCCAUUUUGUUCUGGUAUUUAGAUAGAAUUUAAGGUACUACUGAAAUAUGGUUAUAAAAAAUAAAAUAAGGCAUUUCAGAGCUGCAAA